Molecule: long non-coding RNA, 1428 nt
Organism: Phascolarctos cinereus (koala)
Lineage: Eukaryota; Metazoa; Chordata; Mammalia; Diprotodontia; Phascolarctidae
Source: Ensembl
AAAAACCAAGAAACAAUGGAGAAUCAUUGAGGUCUAGAAGGAACCUGGAUUGGGCACUGAAAUUGCUUUAGGUUGCUGUAUUUCCAGGCUGAGCAGGCCCUCCCAGAAGAUGAGCUCGCUAUUGAGCUGUCCUGGUUCUGAUAUGCAUUAGUUGAGGUUCCCUUGUUUGUGACAUAACACUUGGGACGUCACCCAAUAUUGGCCUCUGAAGGGGACCCAAGUGUAACCCAAUGUUAACAUGAGAAAGUGUGACAGGAUAUGCCAGAAGUUUAAAGAGAAACACAUGAUUUCUAGACUGUAUACCUGCUGUGUUCCAGUAUCUAUUCAGAAAGACUCUGAGAUGUGGAAGAAGGUUGAACGGUAAGAGCAAGAGGGAAAAAAAAAAUCUGGCACGUCUUUUGUUGAAAUUUAAUCCCUCCUUUUUCCCCUUGAUGCCCAGAAACAGUCUGCAGACUUUUCAAUCACUUUUUAGGAUACAGUGAAUUUUAUCAUAAUUUUUUUUCAACGAAAACCACAUGUGCUUGUUCUUUUGACAACAGAGAAUAACGAAAUCGUAUUUGUUAAGUCCAAAAGGCAAGUAAUAAAUAACUGGGACACGAUUCUGAAAUCCAAAGUUCUUCAAAAGAAGGAAUGACUAUUGUUGAAAAAAAUUUAAUUUGGAUAGGAAAAUGAACUUUUGAAGAGAAAACCAUCUGAGAGCUACCCUGUGGCUCAAGGCCUUUUCCUUUCCUGCUGGACCAAUUCUAGUUCUGCAUCCUAAGGCCAUAAUAAAAAAGGGAUUGUCUACAAAAUGCACCCGUGCUUACGAGACUUGGGCCCACUUAUCAACUUCAGUGUCAGCGCUCAUAGGAUCAGAAAUUUUAAGACCUGAAAGCUACUUCAGCAGCCAUUCAGUCCAACAUAUAUGCAAAAAGAUUUCCCAUCAUACCAUACCUAAUAAGUGGUUCUUGAGCCUUUGCUUGAAGACCUCCAAGGAGAAAGAAGCCACAAUCUCUACAGGCAACACCUCCCAACACUCCACUUUUGGGCAGCUCUAAUUGGUAAAAAGUUUUUCCUCAUAUCCACCUAAAUUCACCUCCUUGCAACUUCUACCAAUUGCUCAUAGUUCAGCCCUUUGCAUCCUAACAGACCAAAUGGAGUUUCCCCUCCACAAAUAUUUGAAGGCAGAUAUCAUGCCCUCAUUCUGUCACCUAUCUUAGACUUUCCAAGUUGAAUUUUUGGACCCAGCUGUGGACUUUACAUUUAUCCCAAUGAAGUUUCAUCUCGUUAGAUUCAACUCAACAUUCCAGCCUGCCAAGAAGACGUUUGAAUUGUGACAUUAUCAUCCAUUGUGUUAGCUAUCCCUCUCAGCUUAUGUCAUCUGUAAAUCUGAGAAGCAUAAUAUGUAUUCCUUUAAUGAAAGCAGCAAUAAAAAAUGCUAAAAAGGGC